AUUGAACGCUGGCGGCAGGCCUAACACAUGCAAGUCGAACGAGUGGCGGACGGGUGAGUAAUGUCUGGGAAACUGCCUGAUGGAGGGGGAUAACUACUGGAAACGGUAGCUAAUAACGCAUACCAUCAGAUGUGUCCAGAUGGGAUUAGCUUGUUGGUGGGGUAACGGCUCACCAAGGCGACGCUCCCUAGCUGGUCCGAGAGGAUGACCAGCCACACUGAAAAGUAGACACGGUCCGGACUCCUACGGGAGGCAGCAGUGGGGAAUAUUGCACAAUGGGCGCAAGCCUGAUGCAGCCAUGCCGCGUGUAUGAAGAAGGCCUUCGGGGUGUAAAGUACUUUCAGCGGGGAGGCGUUACCCACAGAAGAAGCACCGGCUAACUCCGUGCCAGCGGCCGCGGUAAUUC
This 406-nucleotide ribosomal RNA is filed under the name uncultured bacterium. RNAcentral describes it as "partial 16S ribosomal RNA". It matches the Rfam family "Bacterial small subunit ribosomal RNA", at positions 30 to 526 of the family's 1533-position model. The record is from RNAcentral.